Cavia porcellus (domestic guinea pig) is the source of this 1496-nucleotide long non-coding RNA. RefSeq lists it as uncharacterized. The record is from RefSeq and is a predicted model, not a curated record. The transcript has 3 exons. NCBI's taxonomy places the organism in Eukaryota, Metazoa, Chordata, Mammalia, Rodentia, Caviidae.
GUCACUAUGGCCUGGAGCCGGAUAUUAACUCUUUGCUUCCUGUUAGCACUGCCCCAGCCAUUCUCUACAUACCCUUCUGCUCCGCGUACCUGCUUUCGAGCCAGCUGACCGCGCAAGGACUGAGACUACUGAAAUCCUCUCCCUGCAGCUUGCACUGAGUUUCCGAUGCGGCUUCAUUCAUUCCUGCUGUUUUGCAAACCCGCUGUCAGUCUCCAGAAGUAACAGAACAUCAUCACGUUAAGGUGACCACGGGGCACAGAACAGUAUCAACAGCAUCGAUCACGAUAGCUGAGCAUUUCCUAUGGGCCUCGAUGGGAACCAAGCUCGUCCUUCCAAGACGAAUUGCUCACCCUCGCAUGCAGCGUUGUGACCAGCUAUGUUAAUUGCUAUUACAUGGCCCUCAGCAAAAACUGAGCUGAAACCAAACCACAUCCUGAACACAAAGCGCUUCUCUGGAGAAGCACCUGACAUUUUGGGCUUUGGAUCCAGUAUGUCCAAAGCUUAUAACAGUUUCUUGCUGACCCCAAAGAUUAACCAGUAUAUUUAGGCUCUCUUUAUCAUGAUCUGUCUAUCAAGGUCAAGCAUGAAAAACAGCAAAAUUCUUUCAAGGCCCAAAAUCCUAGCCAUGCAUUAUGGAGAAAGAAAAAUCCUUGGGCUAUUGUAAGACAGCUAGGUAUGGUAUCCAGAGGGGAAUAACAACCAAACAGGGAAAAAAAGAGUAUAGUCAAAAAAUUUUGUAACUUUGAAAACAUUUAUUUUCACCAAACAACUCAUUAAAUCACUAUAAAAGUCAAUGCAUAUGAUCAAAUAUGACAGUUUAAAUUCUAGAAAGAGUUAUAAGUCAAGUUAAACUCAUAAUACAUAAUGUAGUCUGUGUGUCUCAUCCAUGAAUUACAACAUUUUUAUUACAUCCCAACUGCAAAUUACCAACUUGUUCCCUGUCCUGCCAAUCUCUUGAUUAAAUGGGGGACUGUUAGGCAUUGUGAAAAUAUAUUGCAGUAAAAGAUGACUUCAUCAUUUGUCUCAGUUAUUUCUACAUCCUUAUUUAAAGCUUUCUCACGAGAGCAGCUGGUCCAAACUGAAUUGUUGAUUUAGCAGAGUGAUAACAAAAGGGGAGAAGUAGAAAAAAAUUGGGGCCAGAAAGGCCAGUGUCCCAUCGUCAUUGUCUUGCUAUGUCUCAUCAGACCUUUCUUUAAUAUUUAUGUAUCUUCAAUACUUUUGCUGUCUGUUUUGAUCUCUUCAGUUCCUUCUCUUCAAAGUUAUUCUUGCUCUGCAGGCAUUAUGCCCACGGGCCCAACUUAAGUGUAUUGUAUUUUAUGUCUCACACUGAUAAUGGGGCAGUAACUUGUUCCCAUCAAGUUUCCCCAUAAAAUGGUUUAAUGUCUUGAAGUAGUCCCAAUAUGUCAGCCGAGGGAGUGAAUCAAAUCGACAUUUUUCCACAUUUAUUAGACAGCCACGCUGCAUUAGUUCCUUAUUUUUAAAAAACUCACUAAAAA